GUGUAGUUUGAAAGGAGAGCAGGUUAGCACUCCCCUAGACAAGGAUGGAAUCACAUAAAUGACUAAAAAGGCACUAGACGAGUUCCAGUCGCCAAUUUUU
RNAcentral lists this non-coding RNA (100 nucleotides) under Glossina morsitans morsitans. The record is from RNAcentral. Lineage: Eukaryota; Metazoa; Arthropoda; Insecta; Diptera; Glossinidae.